RNAcentral lists this long non-coding RNA (447 nucleotides) under Lathyrus oleraceus (garden pea). RNAcentral describes it as "Pisum sativum (pea) long non-coding RNA (PSAT_LNC002011)". Lineage: Eukaryota; Viridiplantae; Streptophyta; Magnoliopsida; Fabales; Fabaceae. The record is from RNAcentral.
UUUUUAUUUUUCUAUUUCCUUUUUUUAUUUAUCUUGGUUUAUAUAUUUAAAUUAGCAUUGUAAAUAACAACUAGUCAUAAGUGGCCUGGUGGAGAGGGGUGGUUUCUAUAGUCUCAAGAGGAGUGGGUUUAAUACUCGUAUGUAGCACAUUUUUAGUAUUUCAUUUUCUUUUAGCAUUUUUUUUUAGUAUUUUAUUUUAUUUUAGCAUUUUGUUUCUUUUAAUAUUUUUUAUGUCUAUGUUUUUUAUUAAGUUCAUCAUGCAUGCAAAACCAUUUUAAAACUAUAAAAAUCACAUUUUUUUCUCGAUUCAAUAUCGAGCCCAUUUUCACACCCUUGUAAGUCGAUUGCUUUUUAAGCAUCGCCAUCAACCUCACAUAGCUUACUCUUGGGCUUUCUUACAAUGAGCCGUUUCUCUUGCACUUACACUCAUAUUUCGCAUCAUUUGUU